This is a non-coding RNA of Mycena latifolia, 89 nucleotides long. Lineage: Eukaryota; Fungi; Basidiomycota; Agaricomycetes; Agaricales; Mycenaceae. The record is from the annotation of a GenBank genome assembly.
GGCUCGGUGGUGGAUGGUCCACACUUCUUUCCUGUAAACCAGGUACCUGCCUGCGGCAGGAGGAGCCUGUUCGAUUCAGGCCCGAGCCA